UAUAACAAAUUAUUUAUUAUGGGGCGGACGUAGCCAAGUGGAUUAAGGC
Molecule: transfer RNA, 49 nt
Filed under: Thysananthus auriculatus
Lineage: Eukaryota; Viridiplantae; Streptophyta; Jungermanniopsida; Porellales; Lejeuneaceae
Also listed under: 11 other names
Description: Mastigolejeunea auriculata partial tRNA-His
Source: RNAcentral